This 2930-nucleotide ribosomal RNA is filed under the name Escherichia albertii. RNAcentral describes it as "bacterial LSU rRNA". It matches the Rfam family "Bacterial large subunit ribosomal RNA". The record is from RNAcentral. Lineage: Bacteria; Pseudomonadati; Pseudomonadota; Gammaproteobacteria; Enterobacterales; Enterobacteriaceae.
GGGUUGUGAGGUUAAGCGACUAAGCGUACACGGUGGAUGCCCUGGCAGUCAGAGGCGAUGAAGGACGUGCUAAUCUGCGAAAAGCGUCGGUAAGGUGAUAUGAACCGUUAUAACCGGCGAUGUCCGAAUGGGGAAACCCAGUGUGUUUCGACACACUAUCAUUAACUGAAUCCAUAGGUUAAUGAGGCGAACCGGGGGAACUGAAACAUCUAAGUACCCCGAGGAAAAGAAAUCAACCGAGAUUCCCCCAGUAGCGGCGAGCGAACGGGGAGGAGCCCAGAGCCUGAAUCAGUGUGUGUGUUAGUGGAAGCGUCUGGAAAGGCGCGCGAUACAGGGUGACAGCCCCGUACACAAAAAUGCACAUGCUGUGAGCUCGAUGAGUAGGGCGGGACACGUGGUAUCCUGUCUGAAUAUGGGGGGACCAUCCUCCAAGGCUAAAUACUCCUGACUGACCGAUAGUGAACCAGUACCGUGAGGGAAAGGCGAAAAGAACCCCGGCGAGGGGAGUGAAAAAGAACCUGAAACCGUGUACGUACAAGCAGUGGGAGCCUCUUUAUGGGGUGACUGCGUACCUUUUGUAUAAUGGGUCAGCGACUUAUAUUCUGUAGCAAGGUUAACCGAAUAGGGGAGCCGGAGGGAAACCGAGUCUUAACUGGGCGUUAAGUUGCAGGGUAUAGACCCGAAACCCGGUGAUCUAGCCAUGGGCAGGUUGAAGGUUGGGUAACACUAACUGGAGGACCGAACCGACUAAUGUUGAAAAAUUAGCGGAUGACUUGUGGCUGGGGGUGAAAGGCCAAUCAAACCGGGAGAUAGCUGGUUCUCCCCGAAAGCUAUUUAGGUAGCGCCUCGUGAAUUCAUCUCCGGGGGUAGAGCACUGUUUCGGCAAGGGGGUCAUCCCGACUUACCAACCCGAUGCAAACUGCGAAUACCGGAGAAUGUUAUCACGGGAGACACACGGCGGGUGCUAACGUCCGUCGUGAAGAGGGAAACAACCCAGACCGCCAGCUAAGGUCCCAAAGUCAUGGUUAAGUGGGAAACGAUGUGGGAAGGCCCAGACAGCCAGGAUGUUGGCUUAGAAGCAGCCAUCAUUUAAAGAAAGCGUAAUAGCUCACUGGUCGAGUCGGCCUGCGCGGAAGAUGUAACGGGGCUAAACCAUGCACCGAAGCUGCGGCAGCGACGCUGAUGCGUUGUUGGGUAGGGGAGCGUUCUGUAAGCCUGUGAAGGUGUGCUGUGAGGCAUGCUGGAGAUAUCAGAAGUGCGAAUGCUGACAUAAGUAACGAUAAAGCGGGUGAAAAGCCCGCUCGCCGGAAGACCAAGGGUUCCUGUCCAACGUUAAUCGGGGCAGGGUGAGUCGACCCCUAAGGCGAGGCCGAAAGGCGUAGUCGAUGGGAAACAGGUUAAUAUUCCUGUACUUGGUGUUACUGCGAAGGGGGGACGGAGAAGGCUAUGUUGGCCGGGCGACGGUUGUCCCGGUUUAAGCGUGUAGGCUGGUUUUCCAGGCAAAUCCGGAGAAUCAAGGCUGAGGCGUGAUGACGAGGCACUACGGUGCUGAAGCAACAAAUGCCCUGCUUCCAGGAAAAGCCUCUAAGCAUCAGGUAACAUCAAAUCGUACCCCAAACCGACACAGGUGGUCAGGUAGAGAAUACCAAGGCGCUUGAGAGAACUCGGGUGAAGGAACUAGGCAAAAUGGUGCCGUAACUUCGGGAGAAGGCACGCUGAUAUGUAGGUGAAGCGACUUGCUCGUGGAGCUGAAAUCAGUCGAAGAUACCAGCUGGCUGCAACUGUUUAUUAAAAACACAGCACUGUGCAAACACGAAAGUGGACGUAUACGGUGUGACGCCUGCCCGGUGCCGGAAGGUUAAUUGAUGGGGUCAGCGCAAGCGAAGCUCUUGAUCGAAGCCCCGGUAAACGGCGGCCGUAACUAUAACGGUCCUAAGGUAGCGAAAUUCCUUGUCGGGUAAGUUCCGACCUGCACGAAUGGCGUAAUGAUGGCCAGGCUGUCUCCACCCGAGACUCAGUGAAAUUGAACUCGCUGUGAAGAUGCAGUGUACCCGCGGCAAGACGGAAAGACCCCGUGAACCUUUACUAUAGCUUGACACUGAACACUGGUCCUUGAUGUGUAGGAUAGGUGGGAGGCUUUGAAGUGUGGACGCCAGUCUGCAUGGAGCCGUCCUUGAAAUACCACCCUUUAAUGGCUGGUGUUCUAACGUUGGCCCCUUAUCGGGGUUGCGGACAGUGUCUGGUGGGUAGUUUGACUGGGGCGGUCUCCUCCUAAAGAGUAACGGAGGAGCACGAAGGUUGGCUAAUCCUGGUCGGACAUCAGGAGGUUAGUGCAAUGGCAUAAGCCAGCUUGACUGCGAGCGUGACGGCGCGAGCAGGUGCGAAAGCAGGUCAUAGUGAUCCGGUGGUUCUGAAUGGAAGGGCCAUCGCUCAACGGAUAAAAGGUACUCCGGGGAUAACAGGCUGAUACCGCCCAAGAGUUCAUAUCGACGGCGGUGUUUGGCACCUCGAUGUCGGCUCAUCACAUCCUGGGGCUGAAGUAGGUCCCAAGGGUAUGGCUGUUCGCCAUUUAAAGUGGUACGCGAGCUGGGUUUAGAACGUCGUGAGACAGUUCGGUCCCUAUCUGCCGUGGGCGCUGGAGAACUGAGGGGGGCUGCUCCUAGUACGAGAGGACCGGAGUGGACGCAUCACUGGUGUUCGGGUUGUCAUGCCAAUGGCACUGCCCGGUAGCUAAAUGCGGAAGAGAUAAGUGCUGAAAGCAUCUAAGCACGAAACUUGCCCCGAGAUGAGUUCUCCCUGAGACUUAGAGUCUCCUGAAGGAACGUUGAAGACGACGACGUUGAUAGGCCGGGUGUGUAAGCGCAGCGAUGCGUUGAGCUAACCGGUACUAAUGAACCGUGAGGCUUAACCUUACAACGCCGAAGGUGUUU